CGAAAAUUUGCACUUUCACGUCUUAAUUUUUCAUUCUUACAUUAUUUCAUUUUUCCAUUCCUUCCUCGUUGAAGUAUACCAGCAGUCUAUCCCUACCACUUCUUCUAAAUUUCUUACCAGUAUAUCACUCACAUUCAUUUCCGGGUACACAGAGAAUUCAAACAUCAUAAUUUUUUCCCUUUUCCUAGUUUACUUGAUUCGGUUAGAAAAAGUAAAGACUAAAAGUAUAAUUAAUCUUCUCAGCUCCCAAUUGUCUUGCUUUUUUUUUGUUUUGUUUCUUUUUUUAUUUUGGAUUUGUAUCUCUUCUGUCACGCUCCCAGAGUUCUUCUUUUAAUCGAUUAUGAUUUUCUGUUAAAAGAAAUGAAAACAUUAUUGCUCAUUUACUGUUUGAUAAAAUGCUUACUGUCUCUUUUUUGACUUAAUAUGUUGGUCCAGUUAUACCCCUUUUUCUAUGAUGAAUCAUGUAGGAACACCAAGUGGAUUUGCAAGCCGAGGACCUUGCUCACAGGAUUGGUUAAAGAAGUUCAAGUCUUUUGCUUCACAGAGGGUUUUUUUUUCCUUGUUCUAUUAUCCAUACCCAGUGUUUGUAUUUUAAGACCUCAUCUCCAAAUAUCUUGUUUGUUUGAUGCACAAUGAUAUUUAAUUGUACCAGAGAGGAAAAGGUGAUUGAGAGGACUUACAAGAAGCUUGAACUUGAUUCUUUAGUGAUUCAAGGACGACGACUAGCUGCGUAAAAAAAAAAGAUCCCUCCAAAUGUGCUUUCGUAAGCCGCUGCCAUAUCAGGUGUUUCAAGUGUAUCCUAUAAGUCAACGGAAGCUGAAGGAACUUGGUUGUUACACACUAUCACAAGUAUUCGCUGGAGCCGUUCUUGGAAUUUUGAUAGCUUUCUUUUGUUGCCAAGGUUGCUUGACAUACACAUAAGUUGGCAAUGUACUGAAGAGCUGGAACUGUAGAUGCGACAGUUCCUCGACGAGAGCUUUUCAGUUUUCCACCUUUUCCUGUGUAAUGCUUGUGCAACUUCUUUGAUUUUUAGUCAAUUCAUGCAUUGAAAAUCUCAUUUACUUGUGAUUCUUGCUGUAUUUGAACUAUUUCGAGGUUGUAAAGAGCUAGAGAAAAUACACUUAAAACUAAAUUUCUAUGUUUAAUAUUAAAUUUAAGAAACCUAGGGUUGGAUAACUGAGAUAGAUACCGAAGGCGCUACCUAUUUAUCAUCCAGUCAUAUUUCAUUUUUGUUAAAUUUCUAGCUAGGGUUUCUAUAAACAAGUUAUUCAUAAUUUUUGGUAUUAGUCUGUUAGAUAGUCUAGUAGUAUGCAUCUAACUUCCCGAAUUUAACGAGGGCUUGGCAAAGAUUUAUUAAUUUUUCACGUGUUUAUUUUGAAUAAUGUUAGGGUACUUGAGCUUCCUCUGGGGGAAUUUUGUAAGCAAGGUUUCCUGCUAGGUAAUGCAUCGGAAGCAGGAUUGAUUAAGCCAGGUAACGUGCAAGACAUUGAUGCGGGCAACGUUUGGUAUCAUGUUGCAUGGCGCGUUGUUUAUAGGGUAAACCAGAGGGAGCCACCUCACCACACUUAACAUGGAGCAAAUACGUGGAAUUCAAUUUAUAAUUGACCGGGGAGCCCAACAACUCUUAUUCGAUAUUGAGUACUUGAGUAAUUUGUUGAGUAUAAGUAAAUAGAGAAGUUUAGAGGUCCUUAUGUGAAGAUUGUUUAUCCUUUUUACUUAAGAGCUAGAAAUAUAGAUGCAACAGUUCUUUGGCGAGAGCUUUACAGUCUUCCACCUUUUCCUGUGUAAUGCUUGUGUUGAAACUUGUUUUCCCUUUAAUCAAUUCAUGCGUUAACAAUCUCAUUUA
Long non-coding RNA from Papaver somniferum (opium poppy), 1846 nucleotides. RefSeq lists it as uncharacterized. The record is from RefSeq and is a predicted model, not a curated record. Lineage: Eukaryota; Viridiplantae; Streptophyta; Magnoliopsida; Ranunculales; Papaveraceae. The transcript has 3 exons.